GCUCGAGCUGUUGUGGGGUCCGCGCGGGAGUCGGGGUGGCAGAGCCAUGGUCAGGCAACUGAGUGAGGGGGCCAUUGCGACCAUCAUGCAGCAGGGGGAUACAUCCAUAAAGCCCAUCCUCCAAGUCAUCAACAUCCCUCCCAUUACUAUGGGGAAUAGUCCUCCAUGUUAUCGACUGCUUGUGAGUGAUGGAUUGAACCCUCUAUCCUCUUUCAUGUUGGCAACACAGUUGAACCCGCUUGUGGAGCAAGAACAACUGUCCAGCAACUGUGUUUGCCAGAUUAACUGAUUUAUCGUGAACACUUUGAAAGACGGAAGGAGAGUAGUUAUUUUGAUGGAAUUAGAAGUUUUGAAGUCCGCUGAAGCAGUUGGAGUAAAGAUUGGCAAUCCAGUGCCCUAUAAUGAAGGACACGGGCAGCCACAAGCAGCUCCUCCAGUGUCAGCAGGCAGCCCAGCGGCAAGCAGCAAGCCCCAGCACUAGCACGGAAGCUCCGGAGCGGGUUCCACUGUUUCUAAGGCUUAUGGUGCUUCAAAGACAUUUGGAAAAGCUGGAGGUCCCAGCCUGUCAAACACUUCUGGGGGAACACAGUCCAAAGUGGUGCCCAUUGCCAGCCUCACUCCUUACCAGUUCAAGUGGACUAUUUGUGCUCAUGUUACCAACAAAAGUCAGAUCUGUACCUGGAGCAAUUCCCGAGGGGAAGGGAAGCGUUUCUCUCUGGAACUGGUUGAUGAAAGUGGUGAAAUCAGAGCUACAGCUUUCAACGAGCAACGAGCAAGUGGACAAGUUCUUUCCCCUUAUUGAAGUGAACAAGGUGUAUUAUUUCCCAAAAGGCACCCUGAAGAUUGCUAACAAACAGUUCACAGCUGUUAAAAAUGACUUCGAGAUGACCUUCAAUAACGAGACUUCCGUCAUGCCCUGUGAAGACGGCCAUCAUUUACCUACGGUUCAGUUUGAUCUCACGGGGAUUGAUGACCUGGAGAACAAGAUGAAAGACUCACUUGUAGAAAUCAUGGGGAUCUGCAAGAGCUACGAAGAUGCCACUAAAAUCACAGUGAGGUCUAACAACAGAGAGGUUGCGAAGAGGAAUAUCUACUUAAUGGACACAUCCGGGAAGGUGGUGACUGCUACGCUGUGGGGGGAAGAUGCUGAUAAAUUUGAUGGUUCUAGGCAGCCCGUAUUGGCUAUCAAAGGAGCCAGAGUCUCUGAUUUCGGUGGACGGAGCCUCUCCGUGCUGUCUUCAAGCACUAUCAUUGCGAAUCCUGACAUCCCGGAGGCCUAUAAGCUUCGUGGUUGGUUUGACGCAGAAGGACAAGCCUUAGACGGUGUUUCCAUCUCUGAUCUAAAGAGCGGCAGUGUUGGAGGGGGCAACACCAACUGGAAAACCUUGUACGAGGUCAAAUUCGAGAACCUGGGCCAAGGCAACAAGCCGGACUACUUCAGUUCUGUGGCCACAGUGGUGUAUCCUCGCAAAGAGAACUGCAUGUACCAAGCCUGCCCGACUCAGGACUGCAAUAAGAAAGUGAUUGAUCAACAGAACGGAUUGUACCGCUGUGAGAAGUGCGACACCGAAUUUCCCAAUUUCAAGUACCACAUGAUCCUGUCAGUAAAUAUUGCAGAUUUUCAAGAGAAUCAGUGGGUGACUUGUUUCCAGGAGUCUGCUGAAGCUAUCCUUGGACAAAAUGCUGCUUAUCUUGGGGAUUUAAAAGAUAAGAAUGAACAGGCAUUUGAAGAAGUUUUCCAGAAUGCCAACUUCCGAUCUUUCAUAUUCAGAGUCAGGGUCAAAGUAGAGACCUACAACGAAGAGUCUCGAAUUAAGGCCACUGUGAUGGACGUGAAGUCGGUGGACUACAGAGAGUACAGCCGAAGGCUGGUCCUGAGCAUCAGGAGAAGCGCGUCGAUGUGAGGAGAGCAGUGCCGAUUGGGCAGAAGUUUGCAAAUAAAGAGCCAGAAUAGAAUCGAUUUCCUCCCACCUCUGUGUGACGAUCCCAUGUUGGCUACUCAGCACAGAGGCUCUCUAUGCUGGACUAAGCAAUUUCCUCUCUUGUGUACAUCUCAGAACCCAUCAGUAGGCAAAGGAAAAUAUGUGCGGGUGGCUGUGGUGUAGACCGUGUCAGGCCUAGGGAGUCAGCCAGUGGUUAGUGUAAGACCAGUCACUCCCUCUGCCUUCAGGCUUUUGUAAAUUUCAUUAUCAUCAAGCAGGAAUUAUGUCAUAAGUCACUGACCCUAACUGCAGACCAUGAAGUAAAUUAUGUAACAAGGUUUUUCCUGCUCCAGCAGUGACCCCCCAACCUCACAACUUGGGUUCUUCUCAGCAGGGAGAGCUGAGAAGCGUUUGUGGGCACCUGGGUAUUUUAGUAACUGUGUCUUCCUAGAAUUCAAAGGCUCUUUCUUUCUAGAGGUGCUACAUAGUUGUUAAUGCUUGGAAUGGCAAUAGGGUAGAAUUAUUAAUCAAAGGCAUCUCUUUUAUAUCUGAAGAGUAUCCUUCCUACAGGGUUUAAUAGACUGAGUCAGAUGGGUCUGAUAUUAAUCAAAAUUGUCUCUUCUGAGGACUGCUGAUAAGCAUUAACUUGCUGUCCCCUAGGGAAAUCCAAGCGACUACAAAGCGUUUCUUUAGUUUUCAUUUCAAUUAAUGUUGCAUUUCGCUUGGUGAAUGCAUACUUUUUCUACCUGUACAUAUUCCUGGCAUUCGUAUAUUUUGUUUUUUUGACUAAAGCUACGUUACAUGGAAAGGAUUUUGAAGCCUUUUGUUUCCCUUGCUUUGUUUUAAUAAACAGUAAAUACUUUGCUUGUGAA
Molecule: RNA transcript, 2794 nt
Organism: Mandrillus leucophaeus (drill)
Lineage: Eukaryota; Metazoa; Chordata; Mammalia; Primates; Cercopithecidae
Gene name: replication protein A 70 kDa DNA-binding subunit pseudogene
Exons: 1
Source: RefSeq, a predicted model, not a curated record